Non-coding RNA from Paramuricea clavata, 1446 nucleotides. The record is from the annotation of a GenBank genome assembly. NCBI's taxonomy places the organism in Eukaryota, Metazoa, Cnidaria, Anthozoa, Malacalcyonacea, Plexauridae.
AUUCUAUCAUGGUUGUAAAUUAAAGGUUUGUUACACAGUUAUUCAGCUAGAAUUCAUAGACAUAGGCUUUCAGAAUGGUUUUAAUUGGGGAAGUACAAUUUCUGCUCAACCCUCUAGUGUCUACCUGUAAACCACAGAAUGUCUGUUCUAAUCAAGUCUGUUUAACUGCAUCCUAAUAGAUUGAGCGUUGGUGGCGGGAGCUCCACGAACGUUUAGAGAAAUACUUUAAGCAUCAUUUGAACUGGCUGAAGAACAAUAACGAGUACAAUCCAUCCAGUCAGACUGACAGGUACAUGUACAAUAUGUAACCAUUUUAAUAUAAUAUACACAAAAUUGAUCAGUAUUAGAUGUUCAAGCUUAUAUUUCACUAAAUUACAGAAUGCUUCUUGCCUUUUUGAUGGUGCCACUUCUGCAAAGAGAGCUUGGUGUAUUUAAAGAGACUGUUUGGAACACGCACAGAAUCCGUACACAGAAAGGUACAAAUCUUCCAGCAGGGGUGCCAAACCAUAUAUACAACUUUCCUGAACAAUAUGGACUUGAAGAGAAAGGUACUGUUAAAUUAAACAAAAUAUUUUGUCACUAAAGUCUAUAUGUAGUUCUAUUUAGCCAAAUAAAAUUUCUUAAGUAAUUUGCCUUGACCCCUUCCUUAUUCUUUCCUGUUUUGAAACCAGACAACCUGGGUACUAGAUUUUAAUUUGUAGGUUGGGCUGUGAGCGAAGAAGAAUUACAAGAAGUGGCAAUGAAUUCAGGUGUUCUUGAAGUUGAAACAGAUUUCCUAGAGGAAGAUUUUCGGGCAGAAUGUGAAAGAGUCUUACCAUACCCUAGUAAAGUAGAGCCCAGUGAAUGCAGAGAUGCAUUUUUAUAUCUGAAAGAGAAAUGUAAUUUCCAAACAUCGUCAGCCUCAUAAUCAAUUUUGGUUUACUACAGUUACAUUGUAAAUUUAAAAUAUUUCAAUGGAUGAAUGGUUGCAUUUAAUAACUGGACUGGAGAAGUUAACAAAUCAAUAGACACCUUUUAUGGAAUAAACACCCCCUUAAAAUACCCAAUGCCCAGUGUGUUUAUCAGCCAGCCUCAGUGGGAACUAGGUUGGGUGUUUAUUAGAUAAUUUAUGGUGGACAUGUAAAUAGUCCAGGUGAGGCAGUUAAUUGAUAAAAUGGAAAAAAUCGAUGUUUUUUGUAAACCAAUUCAACCAACAUUAUUAUUUGGAAAAAACUGUUUGAAACUCAGUAAAAUUGGAACAAACAGCACACAUAACAGUAGCUUACCAAUUACAUGUUACCAUUUAAAUACAACUGUUUUUAAAACUAGCAUGAAGUUUAAUCUAGCUUGAGUAUUUUUUGACAUGUUAUAAAAAUUUGUUCUCAGAUGGAUUUUGGUUUUCCCCCUGAACCAUGUAACUAAACAAUAACAUUUAGUAAUACUAUCUCAAGUUAAAUACUGGUGUCC